CCUACGGGAGGCAGCAGUGGGGAAUAUUGCACAAUGGGCGAAAGCCUGAUGCAGCGACGCCGCGUGAGGGAUGACGGCCUUCGGGUUGUAAACCUCUUUCAGCAGGGAAGAAGCGCAAGUGACGGUACCUGCAGAAGAAGCACCGGCUAACUACGUGCCAGCAGCCGCGGUAAUACGUAGGGUGCGAGCGUUGUCCGGAAUUAUUGGGCGUAAAGAGCUCGUAGGCGGUCUGUCACGUCGGAUGUGAAAGCCCGGGGCUUAACCCCGGGUCUGCAUUCGAUACGGGCAGACUAGAGUGUGGUAGGGGAGAUCGGAAUUCCUGGUGUAGCGGUGAAAUGCGCAGAUAUCAGGAGGAACACCGGUGGCGAAGGCGGAUCUCUGGGCCAUUACUGACGCUGAGGAGCGAAAGCGUGGGGAGCGAACAGGAUUAGAUACCCUGGUAGUCCACGCCGUAAACGUUGGGAACUAGGUGUUGGCGACAUUCCACGUCGUCGGUGCCGCAGCUAACGCAUUAAGUUCCCGCCUGGGGAGUACGGCCGCAAGGCUAAAACUUACGAAAGUAGUACGGCGUGAGAACGUAGCGACGAAGCCACCGAGGAGGUAAGG
This 606-nucleotide ribosomal RNA is filed under the name uncultured bacterium. RNAcentral's name for it is "bacterial SSU rRNA". It matches the Rfam family "Bacterial small subunit ribosomal RNA", at positions 338 to 961 of the family's 1533-position model. The record is from RNAcentral.